UACGUAGGGUGCGAGCGUUGUCCGGAAUUAUUGGGCGUAAAGAGCUUGUAGGCGGUUUGUCGCGUCUGCCGUGAAAAUUCGAGGCUCAACCUCGAACUUGCGGUGGGUACGGGCAGACUAGAGUGUGGUAGGGGAGACUGGAAUUCCUGGUGUAGCGGUGAAAUGCGCAGAUAUCAGGAGGAACACCGAUGGCGAAGGCAGGUCUCUGGGCCACUACUGACGCUGAGAAGCGAAAGCAAGGGGAGCGAACAGG
This 253-nucleotide ribosomal RNA is filed under the name uncultured bacterium. RNAcentral's name for it is "partial 16S ribosomal RNA". It matches the Rfam family "Bacterial small subunit ribosomal RNA", at positions 524 to 776 of the family's 1533-position model. The record is from RNAcentral.